RNAcentral lists this ribosomal RNA (253 nucleotides) under uncultured bacterium. RNAcentral describes it as "partial 16S ribosomal RNA". It matches the Rfam family "Bacterial small subunit ribosomal RNA", at positions 524 to 776 of the family's 1533-position model. The record is from RNAcentral.
UACGAAGGGGGCUAGCGUUGCUCGGAAUCACUGGGCGUAAAGGGUGCGUAGGCGGGUCUUUAAGUCAGGGGUGAAAUCCUGGAGCUCAACUCCAGAACUGCCUUUGAUACUGAAGAUCUUGAGUUCGGGAGAGGUGAGUGGAACUGCGAGUGUAGAGGUGAAAUUCGUAGAUAUUCGCAAGAACACCAGUGGCGAAGGCGGCCAUCUGGACCGCAACUGACGCUGAGGCGCGAAAGCGUGGGGAGCAAACAGG